AGGCGAAGACGGGCAGGGGGUGUGAGAGCACGGCCCCCCACAAUGGGACUGAGAGACGGCCCAUACUCCUACGGGAGGCAGCAGCAGGGAAUAUUGCACAAUGGACGGAAGUCUGAUGCAGCGACGCCGCGUGGAUGAUGAAGGCCUUCGGGUUGUAAAAUCCUUUUCGGGGGGAAGAGGAAGGACGGUACCCCCGGAAUAAGCGUCGGCUAACUACGUGCCAGCAGCCGCGGUAAUACGUAGGACGCGAGCGUUAUCCGGAUUUACUGGGCGUAAAGCGUCUGUAGGCGGUUGGGUAAGUUGGGCGUGAAAGCUCCGGGCUUAACCCGGAGAGGCCGUUCAAUACUGCUUGACUAGAGGGCGUGAGAGGGGAGCGGAAUUCCCGGUGUAGCGGUAAAAUGCGCAGAUAUCGGGAGGAACACCAGUGGCGCAGGCGGCUCCCUGGUACGCACCUGACGCUGAGAGACGAAAGCUAGGGGAGCGAACAGGAUUAGAGACCCUGGUAGUCCUAGCCCUAAACGCUGGAUGCUAGGUGUGGGGCCGAAUAGGCUCUGUGCCGCAGCUAACGCGCUAAGCAUCCCGCCUGGGGAGUACGGCCGCAAGGCUAAAACUCAAACGAAUUGACGGGGCCCCGCACAAGCAGCGGAGCGUGUGGUUUAAUUCGAUUUACACGAAGAACCUUACCUGGGUUUGACAUGGAGGUGGUAGGGAAGCGAAAGCGGACCGACUCUUCGGAGAGCCUUCACAGGUGCUGCAUGGCUGUCGUCAGCUCGUGCCGUGAGGUGUCGGGUUAAGUCCCGUAACGAGCGCAACCCUUGCCCUUAGUUACAAGUGUCUAGGGGGACUGCCGGCGGGAAGCCGGAGGAAGGUGGGGAUGAUGUCAAGUCAGCAUGGCCCUUAUGUCCAGGGCUACACACACGCUACAAUGGACGGUACAAAGGGCAGCGAAGCCGCGAGGUGGAGCGAAUCCCAGCAAAGCCGUCCGUAGUACGGAUAGCAGGCUGCAACCCGCCUGCUUGAAGCUGGAGUUGCUAGUAACCGCGCGUCAGCUAUAGUGCGGUGAAUACGUUCCCGGGGCUUGUACACACCGCCCGUCACGUCAUGGGAGUCGGUAACGCCUGAAGCCGGUAGCCUAACGCGCAAGCGAGGGCGCUGUCGAAGGCGGGGCUGGCGACUGGGACGAAGUCGUAACAAGGUAGCGGUACCGGAAGGUGCGGCUG
This 1220-nucleotide ribosomal RNA is filed under the name metagenome. RNAcentral describes it as "bacterial SSU rRNA". It matches the Rfam family "Bacterial small subunit ribosomal RNA", at positions 271 to 1520 of the family's 1533-position model. The record is from RNAcentral.